AUUGAACGCUGGCGGCAUGCCUUACACAUGCAAGUCGAACGGCAGCACGGGGCAACCUGGUGGCGAGUGGCGGACGGGUGAGUAAUGCAUCGGAACGUACCUUUCAGUGGGGGAUAACGUAGCGAAAGUUACGCUAAUACCGCAUAUUCUGUGAGCAGAAAAGCAGGGGAUCGCAAGACCUUGCGCUGAUUGAGCGGCCGAUGUCAGAUUAGCUAGUUGGUGAGGUAAAGGCUCACCAAGGCGACGAUCUGUAGCGGGUCUGAGAGGAUGAUCCGCCACACUGGAACUGAGACACGGUCCAGACUCCUACGGGAGGCAGCAGUGGGGAAUUUUGGACAAUGGGGGCAACCCUGAUCCAGCCAUGCCGCGUGAGUGAAGAAGGCCUUCGGGUUGUAAAGCUCUUUCGGCCGGGAAGAAAUCGCACGGGCUAAUACCCUGUGUGGAUGACGGUACCGGAAUAAGAAGCACCGGCUAACUACGUGCCAGCAGCCGCAGUAA
Molecule: ribosomal RNA, 498 nt
Filed under: uncultured bacterium
Lineage: Bacteria
Description: partial 16S ribosomal RNA
Rfam family: Bacterial small subunit ribosomal RNA
Source: RNAcentral